AUCCAGAUGACGAGUCCCAAAUAGGACGAAAUGCAGAUCCUGGAC
Non-coding RNA from Trichobilharzia regenti, 45 nucleotides. The record is from Rfam. Lineage: Eukaryota; Metazoa; Platyhelminthes; Trematoda; Strigeidida; Schistosomatidae.